RNAcentral lists this transfer RNA (90 nucleotides) under Acholeplasma sp. RNAcentral describes it as "tRNA-Ser". It matches the Rfam family "tRNA". Rfam says of the family: Transfer RNA (tRNA) molecules are approximately 80 nucleotides in length. Their secondary structure includes four short double-helical elements and three loops (D, anti-codon, and T loops). The record is from RNAcentral. Lineage: Bacteria; Bacillati; Mycoplasmatota; Mollicutes; Acholeplasmatales; Acholeplasmataceae.
GGAGGAGUACCCAAGUCCGGCUGAAGGGGAUAGUCUCGAAAACUAUUAGGCUUUCUAAGUGCGAGAGUUCAAAUCUCUCCUCCUCCGCCA